This 448-nucleotide ribosomal RNA is filed under the name uncultured bacterium. RNAcentral's name for it is "bacterial SSU rRNA". It matches the Rfam family "Bacterial small subunit ribosomal RNA", at positions 328 to 792 of the family's 1533-position model. The record is from RNAcentral.
GGCCCAGACUCCUACGGGAGGCAGCAGUCGGGAAUAUUGCACAAUGGAGGAAACUCUGAUGCAGUGACGCCGCGUGCAGGAAGAAGGUUUUCGGAUUGUAAACUGCUUUAGACAGGGAAGAAACAAGACAGUACCUGUAGAAUAAGCUUCGGCUAACUACGUGCCAGCAGCCGCGGUAAUACGUAGGGAGCAAGCGUUAUCCGGAUUUAUUGGGUGUAAAGGGUGCGUAGACGGGAAUUUAAGUUAGUUGUGAAAUCCCUCGGCUUAACUGAGGAACUGCAACUAAAACUGAAUUUCUUGAGUGCGGGAGAGGAAAGUGGAAUUCCUAGUGUAGCGGUGAAAUGCGUAGAUAUUAGGAGGAACACCAGUGGCGAAGGCGACUUUCUGGACCGUAACUGACGUUGAGGCUCGAAAGCGUGGGGAGCAAACAGGAUUAGAUACCCCGGUA